GUUCUUUUGUUUAUAUAAAAGAUCUGGCCUGCCCAAUGAAAAUUUAAUGGCUGCAGUAUUUUGACUGUACAAAGGUAGCAUAAUCAUUUGUCUUUUAAUUGAAGUCUGGAAUGAAUGGUUUGAUGAAAAAUUUACUUUCUUUAUUUUAAACGAAUAAUUUAAUUUUUUAAUUAAAAAGUUAAGAUAUUAAUAUAGGACGAGAAGACCCUAUAGAACUUUAUUUUGCUAAAAAUAUAGAAUUUUGUUAAUGAGUUUUUGUCUUUUUUAAGAAAUUUUGUUGGGGUGACAGAAAAAAAUUUUUAACUUUUUUUUAUUUUUUCAUUAAUUUAUGAUUUUUUUGGUCCUUUACUAUGGAUAAUAAGAUUAAGUUACCUUAGGGAUAACAGCGUUAUUAUUUUAGAGAGUUCAUAUCGAUAAAAUAGUUUGCGACCUCGAUGUUGGAUUAAAAUAAGUUUCAGGAGUAGAAUAUUGAGUAUCUAGGUCUGUUCGACCUUUAAAUUUUUACA
RNAcentral lists this ribosomal RNA (506 nucleotides) under Pilophorus piceicola. RNAcentral's name for it is "partial 16S ribosomal RNA". It matches the Rfam family "Bacterial large subunit ribosomal RNA", at positions 1829 to 2600 of the family's 2925-position model. The record is from RNAcentral. Lineage: Eukaryota; Metazoa; Arthropoda; Insecta; Hemiptera; Miridae.